RNAcentral lists this ribosomal RNA (253 nucleotides) under uncultured bacterium. Its description in RNAcentral is "partial 16S ribosomal RNA". It matches the Rfam family "Bacterial small subunit ribosomal RNA", at positions 524 to 776 of the family's 1533-position model. The record is from RNAcentral.
UACGGGGGGAGCAAGCGUUGUUCGGAUUUACUGGGCGUAAAGGGCGCGUAGGCGGUCGUGACAAGUCACUUGUGAAAUCUCCGGGCUUAACUCGGAACGGUCAAGUGAUACUGUCGGACUAGAGUACAGAAGGGGCAACUGGAAUUCUCGGUGUAGCGGUGAAAUGCGUAGAUAUCCGGAGGAACACCGGUGGCGAAGGCGGCUCCUGGACCGACACUGACGCUGAGGCGCGAAAGCUAGGGGAGCAAACGGG